RNAcentral lists this ribosomal RNA (459 nucleotides) under uncultured bacterium. RNAcentral describes it as "partial 16S ribosomal RNA". It matches the Rfam family "Bacterial small subunit ribosomal RNA", at positions 338 to 795 of the family's 1533-position model. The record is from RNAcentral.
CCUACGGGGGGCAGCAGUGAGGAAUAUUGGUCAAUGGGCGGAAGCCUGAACCAGCCAAGUAGCGUGCGGGAUGAAGGUACAGAGUAUCGUAAACCUCUUUUGUCAGGGAACAAAGGCGGGGACGUGUCCCCGGAUGAGUGUACCUGAAGAAAAAGCAUCGGCUAACUCCGUGCCAGCAGCCGCGGUAAUACGGAGGAUGCGAGCGUUAUCCGGAUUUAUUGGGUUUAAAGGGUGCGCAGGCGGUCUGUUAAGUCAGCGGUCAAAGCCCGGGGCUCAGCCCCGGCCCGCCGUUGAAACUGGCAGUCUCGAGUUGGAGAGAAGUAUGCGGAAUGCGCGGUGUAGCGGUGAAAUGCAUAGAUAUCGCGCAGAACUCCGAUUGCGAAGGCAGCAUGCCGGCUCCACACUGACGCUGAGGCACGAAAGCGUGGGUAUCGAACAGGAUUAGAUACCCUAGUAGUC